AUUGAACGCUGGCGGUAUGCUUAAGACAUGCAAGUCGUGCGGUAGAAGGCUUCGGCCUUUGAGAGCGGCGGACGGGUGAGUAACACGUGGGAAUCUGCCUAUUAGUGGGGGACAGCCCAGCGAAAGCUGGAUUAAUACCGCAUACGCCCUACGGGGGAAAGCAGCAAUGCGCUAAUAGAUGAGCCCGCGUAAGAUUAGCUAGUUGGUAAGGUAAAGGCUUACCAAGGCGACGAUCUUUAGCUGGUCUGAGAGGAUGGUCAGCCACACUGGGACUGAGACACGGCCCAGACUCCUACGGGAGGCAGCAGUGGGGAAUAUUGGACAAUGGGGGAAACCCUGAUCCAGCAAUGCCGCGUGAGUGAUGAAGGCCUUCGGGUUGUAAAGCUCUUUUGUCAGGGACGAUGAUGACGGUACCUGACGAAUAAGCUCCGGCUAACUUCGUGCCAGCAGACGCGGUAAUGUAGUCGUGU
Molecule: ribosomal RNA, 470 nt
Filed under: uncultured bacterium
Lineage: Bacteria
Description: bacterial SSU rRNA
Rfam family: Bacterial small subunit ribosomal RNA
Source: RNAcentral